AACGAACGCUGGCGGCAUGCCUAACACAUGCAAGUCGAACGAGACCUUCGGGUCUAGUGGCGCACGGGUGCGUAACGCGUGGGAACCUGCCCUUAGGUUCAGAAUAACUCCCCGCAAGGGGUGCUAAUACCGGAUAAUGUCUUCGGACCAAAGAUUUAUCGCCUUUGGAUGGGCCCGCGUUGGAUUAGCUAGUUGGUAGGGUAAAAGCCUACCAAGGCGACGAUCCAUAGCUGGUCUGAGAGGAUGAUCAGCCACACUGGGACUGAGACACGACCCAGACGCCGACGGGAGGAAGCGGUGGGGAAUAGUGGACAAUGGGCGAAAGCCUGAUCCAGCAAUGCCGCGUGAGUGAUGAAGGCCUUAGGGUUGUAAAGCUCUUUUACCCGGGAUGAUAAUGACAGUACCGGGAGAAUAAGCGCCGGCUAACUCCGUG
Molecule: ribosomal RNA, 433 nt
Filed under: uncultured bacterium
Lineage: Bacteria
Description: partial 16S ribosomal RNA
Rfam family: Bacterial small subunit ribosomal RNA
Source: RNAcentral